This 484-nucleotide ribosomal RNA is filed under the name uncultured bacterium. RNAcentral's name for it is "partial 16S ribosomal RNA". It matches the Rfam family "Bacterial small subunit ribosomal RNA", at positions 30 to 507 of the family's 1533-position model. The record is from RNAcentral.
AUUGAACGCUGGCGGCAGGCCUAACACAUGCAAGUCGAGCGGAUGAAGGGAGCUUGCUCCUGGAUUCAGCGGCGGACGGGUGAGUAAUGCCUAGGAAUCUGCCUGGUAGUGUGGGAUAACGUCCGGAAACGGGCGCUAAUACCGCAUACGUCCUGAGGGAGAAAGUGGGGGAUCUUCGGACCUCACGCUAUCAGAUGAGCCUAGGUCGGAUUAGCUAGUUGGUGGGGUAAAGGCCUACCAAGGCGACGAUCCGUAACUGGUCUGAGAGGAUGAUCAGUCACACUGGAAGUGAGACACGGUCCAGACUCCUACGGGAGGCAGCAGUGGGGAAUAUUGGACGAUGGGCGAAAGCCUGAUCCAGCCAUGCCGCGUGUGUGAAGAAGGUCUUCGGAUUGUAAAGCACUUUAAGUUGGGAGGAAGGGCAGUAAGUUAAUACCUUGCUGUUUUGACGUUACCAACAGAAUAAGCACCGGCUAACUUCGUG